Molecule: long non-coding RNA, 1334 nt
Filed under: Citrus x clementina
Lineage: Eukaryota; Viridiplantae; Streptophyta; Magnoliopsida; Sapindales; Rutaceae
Description: Citrus clementina (C. clementina) long non-coding RNA (CCLE_LNC006195)
Source: RNAcentral
UGGGGGGCGCGGGCGAAGUUCGUCCGCCGGACUCGGAAUGGGGCGCGACUUUGCGCGGGGCCUCGGGGCGCCACAAAUAAGCCGCGGGCAAAGCCGCGCCCAAAAAUAAGCGCCCGAAGGUCGUGGUUCCAAAACACCCCAGCGGAAAAAUGGCCAAAAAACGGGUGGGCUAUAGCCUUGGUGGGGGGCGCGGGCGAAGUUCGUCCGCCGGACUCGGAAUGGGGCGAGACUUUGCGAGGGACCUCGGGGUGCCCGCGGGAAGUCGCGGGCACAGCCGCGUCCAAAAAUAACCGCCCGAAGGUCGUGGUGCCAAAACCCCCCAGCGGAAAAAUGGCCAAAAAACGGGUGGGCUAUAGCCUUGGUGGGGGGCGCGGGCGAAGUUCGUCCGCCGGACUCGGAAUGGGGCGAGACUUUGCGCGGGGCCUUGGGGCGCCAAAAAUAAGCCGCGGGCAAAGCCGCGCCCAAAAAUAAGCGCCCGAAGGUCGUGGUGCCAAAACCCCCCAGCGGAAAAAUGGCCAAAAAACGGGUGGGCUAUAGCCUUGGUGGGGGGCGCGGGCAAAGUUCGUCCGCCGGACUCGGAAUGGGGCGAGACUUUGCGAGGGGCCUCGGGGUGCCCGCGGGAAGUCGCGGGCACAGCCGCGUCCAGAAAUAAGCGCCCGAAGGUCGUGGUGCCAAAACCCCCCAGCGGAAAAAUGGCCAAAAAACGGGUGGGCUAUAGCCUUGGUGGGGGGUGCGGGCGAAGUUCGUCCGCCGGACUUUGAAUGGGGCGAGACAUUGCGAGGGGCCUCAGGGUGCCAAAAAUAAGCCGCGGGCAAAGCCGCGCCCAAAAAUAAGCUCCCGAAGGUCGUGUUGCCAAAACCCCCCAGCGGAAAAAUGGCCAAAAAACGGGAGGGCUAUAGCCUUGGUGGGGGGCGCGGGCGAAGUUCGUCCGCCGGACUCGGAAUGGGGCGCGACUUUGCGCGGGGCCUCGGGGCGCCACAAAUAAGCCGCGGGCAAAGCCGCGCCCAAAAAUAAGCGUCCGAAGGUCGUGGUUCCAAAACACCCCAGCGGAAAAAUGGCCAAAAAACGGGUGGGCUAUAGCCUUGGUGGGGGGCGCGGGCGAAGUUCGUCCGCCGGACUCGGAAUGGGGCGAGACUUUGCGAGGGACCUCGGGGUGCCCGCGGGAAGUCGCGGGCACAGCCGCGUCCAAAAAUAACCGCCCGAAGGUCGGGGUGCCAAAACCCCCCAGCGGAAAAUUGGCCAAAAAAGGGUGGGCUAUAGCCUUGGUGGGGGGCGCGGGCGAAGUUCGUCCGCCGGACUCGGAAUGGGGCGAGACUUUGCGAGGGGCCUCGGGG